UACUUCAAAUUCAGAUAUAAACGUUAUGUAAUAUUUAUUCGGUAUAGAAAUAAUUUUUUCUGCCAAACAAAGAAAACAAAAAGACCAGUCUGCAUAUUGUAUAUAUAAUACUUUUCCCCCCGUGAUCCGGAUCGCGGCCGUGGUGUUUUCUGAAAGUGUCCACGGGCAACACACGUGUUUCCGUUUCAACGAAAACAACAACACAACAAACGCUUGUAUUGUAUUUUACAUCUUGAAAACGACCUCAUGUCAGAUGAAGAAGUCUGAAGAUACCUUGGAUAUCCUGUUGCAGGAUGACCCAAACGAUCAUGCAUUCAGUAUAAACAUGUUAUUGACAUCCCAAUAUUUAGUGGAAAGCUUCCAGGUAUCUUCCACUAGUGACAGUCUACUGGCAAAUCCAUACAUGCGAUGGAAGUAUGUUGGUGUGGAGGACACAGGGACACCUGAUCCAAGAACUGUGGCAUUUCAUUCGGAGUGACAACCUGGCAUGCAGUUGAUAUGGGACCUGAUUAUUCAGAGAAUUGCAGAUUUUAUGAAGCUGUUUUUGACAGAAGAUUUGGUUUUCUCCAUCUGUGUUGCCACCAACCAUUAUGCUGUGAUGGUCAUAUCAAGGGGGAAGGAUUGUCAUAUGCUUCCCAAGGAAGUUCGAAGCCUCUCACUGAAGAGGAACUGUACAGAUUUUUGGGCAUUAUCUUAUACAUGUCUGCUGAGAAGUUCCAGUCGAUAGACAGAUAUUGGUCAACGCAUGCCCCUAUCGGAACAACCUAGUAUCAAGAAUUAUGUCUAGAAAUAUGUUUUAACAGGUUGAAUAUAAGAAGAACAAUUUUUAUUAAAUAUAAUGCAAGUACAUUUAAAUUUAGUGAUUGGAAGUAAGGACUUGAACAUUCGUUUACAUGUACAAUGAACUUGGGGAGGAAAAACGGGCAUUAUUUUCGCAUAGCAUUUUAUAUCAUAAUGGUGUUGUUGCUUAGCAACCAAAUAUAUUUGAAUAUAAAAAAAUUGAUUUUUUAGAUUCUUUGUUUUAAUGUUGUAAUAUUUAUACUAUUUAGUGGGAUACAAUGGCAAAACGUCAUAUUACUAGAAAAUAAUGAAUAUGUAUAUGAAGUACGAAAUUUUCAUUUUAUGACCUUUGACCUUAAUUCUCUUCAUUAUAUUUUUUGUUAAAAACCUUUUAAAAUGAUUAAGAUCUAGUCAAAGAUUAUAUUUUUAAAAUAAUGUGACAUUUACUAAUCAUCAUGCAAUGUAAUUAUGUUUGAAUUGUGUCGAAUGGAUGUAGAAAGGCAAAUUAUGGUCAAAAUUACACCAUGAGUGUUGUUACUUAGCAACCAAAAAUAUUUGUUUGUCAAUAAAAUUGAUUAAUUUGA
Ostrea edulis (European flat oyster) is the source of this 1364-nucleotide long non-coding RNA. RefSeq lists it as uncharacterized. Lineage: Eukaryota; Metazoa; Mollusca; Bivalvia; Ostreida; Ostreidae. The record is from RefSeq and is a predicted model, not a curated record. The transcript has 4 exons.